UUAGUUAGUUGGCGGGGUAACAGCCCACCAAGACGAUGAUCAGUAGCUGGUCUGAGAGGACGGACAGCCACACUGGAACUGAGACACGGUCCAGACUCCUACGGGAGGCAGCAGUGAGGAAUUUUGCUCAAUGGGCGCAAGCCUGAAGCAGCGACGCCGCGUGAAUGAUGAAGUCUUUCGGGAUGUAAAGUUCUGUCGAUGGGGACAAUGAUGAUGGUACCCAUAGAGGAAGCACCGGCAAACUAUGUGCCAGCAGCCGCGGUAAUACAUAGGGUGCGAGCGUUAUCCGGAUUUACUGGGCGUAAAGCGUAUGUAGGCGGUAUUCUAAGUCAAACUUCAAAUCCUGGGGCUCAACUCCAGUUCGGGUUUGAUACUGGAAUACUCGAGUUUGGGAGAGGAAAGCGGAACUAACAGUGUAGCGGUGAAAUGCGUAGAUAUUGUUAGGAACACCCGUGGCGAAGGCGGCUUUCUGGACCAACACUGACGCUGAGAUACGAAAGCGUGGGGAGCAAACAGGAUUAGAUACCCUGGUAGUCCACGCUGUAAACAAUGUACAUUAGGUAUAGGGGGUAUCGACUCCUUCUGUGCCGAAGCUAACGCGUUAAAUGUACCGCCUGGGGAGUACGGUCGCAAGAUUAAAACUCAAAGGAAUUGACGGGGGCCCGCACAAGCAGUGGAUCAUGUGGUUUAAUUCGACGAUACCCGAAAAACCUUACCAGAACUCGACAUCUGGAGAAUUUCGUAGAAGUACGAAAGUGCCCGCAAGGGAGCUCCAAGACAGGUGGUGCAUGGUUGUCGUCAGCUCGUGUCGUGAGAUGUUAGGUUAAGUCCUGCAACGAGCGCAACCCUCGUGUUGUGUUGCUACAUUUAGUUGAGCACUCUCAACAGACUGCCCGUGGUAAACGGGAGGAAGGUGGGGAUGACGUCAAAUCAUCAUGCCCUUUAUGUUCUGGGCUACACACAUGAUACAAUGGCAAGUACAAAGGGACGCCAAGCCGCAAGGCGGAGCAAAUCUCAAAAAACUUGCCCCAGUUCAGAUUAUAGGCUGCAACUCGCCUGUAUGAAGAUGGA
Molecule: ribosomal RNA, 1071 nt
Filed under: uncultured bacterium
Lineage: Bacteria
Description: bacterial SSU rRNA
Rfam family: Bacterial small subunit ribosomal RNA
Source: RNAcentral